Molecule: ribosomal RNA, 353 nt
Filed under: uncultured soil bacterium
Lineage: Bacteria
Description: bacterial SSU rRNA
Rfam family: Bacterial small subunit ribosomal RNA
Source: RNAcentral
AGAUUGAACGCUGGCGGCAUGCCUUACACAUGCAAGUCGAACGGCAGCACGGGAGCAAUCCUGGUGGCGAGUGGCGAACGGGUGAGUAAUACAUCGGAACGUGCCCAAUCGUGGGGGAUAACGCAGCGAAAGCUGUGCUAAUACCGCAUAAGAUCUACGGAUGAAAGCAGGGGAUCGCAAGACCUUGCGCGAAUGGAGCGGCCGAUGGCAGAUUAGGUAGUUGGUGAGGUAAAGGCUCACCAAGCCUUCGAUCUGUAGCUGGUCUGAGAGGACACCAGCCACACUGGGACUGACGACACGGCCAGACUCCGACGGAGCAGCAGGUGGGUAAUUUGGACAAGUGGGACGAAGCC